UGCGGAGUAGAGCAGGUAGGUAGCUCGUUGGGCUCAUAACCCGAAGGUCGCAGGUUCGAAUCCGGCCUCCGCUA
This 74-nucleotide transfer RNA is filed under the name Phaeostrophion irregulare. RNAcentral describes it as "tRNA-Met". It matches the Rfam family "tRNA". Rfam says of the family: Transfer RNA (tRNA) molecules are approximately 80 nucleotides in length. Their secondary structure includes four short double-helical elements and three loops (D, anti-codon, and T loops). Lineage: Eukaryota; Phaeophyceae; Sphacelariales; Phaeostrophionaceae. RNAcentral also lists the same sequence under 2 other names. The record is from RNAcentral.